GAUGAACGCUGGCGGCGUGCCUAAUACAUGCAAGUCGAGCGAACAGACGAGGAGCUUGCUCCUCUGACGUUAGCGGCGGACGGGUGAGUAACACGUGGAUAACCUACCUAUAAGACUGGGAUAACUUCGGGAAACCGGAGCUAAUACCGGAUAAUAUAUUGAACCGCAUGGUUCAAUAGUGAAAGACGGUUUUGCUGUCACUUAUAGAUGGAUCCGCGCCGCAUUAGCUAGUUGGUAAGGUAACGGCUUACCAAGGCGACGAUGCGUAGCCGACCUGAGAGGGGGACCGGCCACACUGGAACUGAGACACGGUCCAGACUCCUACGGGAGGCAGCAGUAGGGAAUCUUCCGCAAUGGGCGAAAGCCUGACGGAGCAACGCCGCGUGAGUGAUGAAGGUCUUCGGAUCGUAAAACUCUGUUAUUGGGGAAGAACAAAUGUGUAAGUAACUAUGCACGUCUUGACGGUACCUAAUCAGAAAGCCACGGCUAACUACGUG
This 497-nucleotide ribosomal RNA is filed under the name uncultured bacterium. RNAcentral's name for it is "partial 16S ribosomal RNA". It matches the Rfam family "Bacterial small subunit ribosomal RNA", at positions 28 to 507 of the family's 1533-position model. The record is from RNAcentral.